Molecule: ribosomal RNA, 468 nt
Filed under: uncultured bacterium
Lineage: Bacteria
Description: partial 16S ribosomal RNA
Rfam family: Bacterial small subunit ribosomal RNA
Source: RNAcentral
GACGAACGCUGGCGGCGUGCUUAACACAUGCAAGUCGAACGGAAAGGCCCUGCUUUUGUGGGGUGCUCAAGUGGCGAACGGGUGAGUAACACGUGAGUAACCUGCCCUUGACUUUGGGAUAACUUCAGGAAACUGGGGCUAAUACCGGAUAGGAGCUCCUGCUGCAUGGUGGGGGGUGGAAAGUUUCGGCGGUUGGGGAUGGACUCGCGGCUUAUCAGCUUGUUGGUGGGGUAGUGGCUUACCAAGGCUUUGACGGGUAGCCGGCCUGAGAGGGUGACCGGCCACAUUGGGACUGGGAUACGGCCCGGACUCCUACGGGCGGCAGCAGUGGGGAAUAUUGCACGAUGGGCGGAAGCCGGAUGGAGCAACGCCGCGUGCGGGAUGACGGCCUUCGGGUUGUAAACCGCUUUCGCCUGUGACGAAGAGUGAGUGACGGUAAUGGGUAAAGAAGCAACGGCUAACUACGUG